CUCCUUCCCAACCUACUCUCCCUGCUGCCUGAAGAACCUGAGCUGGGUCCCCGCCAAUUCGAUCAACAACUCAAGAGCCUCCUGCACCGUGGCCUCGUUGUCGUUGUUCAAAGCCUCCAUCAACAUCCUCAUCACCACUGUAAUCUUGUAAGCCCAAUUGAAAUAUGAAAACUUGAAAUUUUGAGCCUAAAUUGAAAUCUGAAAAGUCAAUAUA
This 214-nucleotide long non-coding RNA is filed under the name Prunus dulcis (almond). RNAcentral describes it as "sRNA ncRNA". Lineage: Eukaryota; Viridiplantae; Streptophyta; Magnoliopsida; Rosales; Rosaceae. The record is from RNAcentral.